RNAcentral lists this ribosomal RNA (368 nucleotides) under uncultured alga. Its description in RNAcentral is "bacterial LSU rRNA". It matches the Rfam family "Bacterial large subunit ribosomal RNA", at positions 2098 to 2465 of the family's 2925-position model. The record is from RNAcentral.
GCUUGACUGUAGCUUGUAAUUGGGUUCGGGCUUUUUUUGCGCAGCCUAGGUGGGAGGCAACGAUGAUUUUUUUCCGGAAAAUUUGAGCCGUUAGUGAGAGACCACUCUGAAAAGGCUAGAAUCCUAAUAAUGAUCCUUGAAUCAGGACAUUUGACAGUUGCAGGUGGGCAGUUUUACUGGGGCGGUAUUCUCCUAAAAAGUAACGGAGGGGUGCAAAGGUUCCCUCAAGCUGGACGGAAAUCAGCUUAAGAGUGUAAAGGCAAAAGGGAGCUUGACUGCAAGACCUACAAGUCGAGCAGGGGCGAAAGCCGGCCUUAGUGAUCCGACGGUACCACGUGGAAGGGCCGUCGCUCAACGGAUAAAAGUUA